Molecule: ribosomal RNA, 433 nt
Filed under: uncultured bacterium
Lineage: Bacteria
Description: partial 16S ribosomal RNA
Rfam family: Bacterial small subunit ribosomal RNA
Source: RNAcentral
AACGAACGCUGGCGGCAGGCCUAACACAUGCAAGUCGAGCGGACCUUUCGGGGUCAGCGGCGGACGGGUGAGUAACGCGUGGGAAUAUGCCCUUCUCUACGGAAUAGUCCUGGGAAACUGGGGGUAAUACCGUAUACGCCCUUUGGGGGAAAGAUUUAUCGGGGAAGGAUUAGGCCGCGUUGGAUUAGGUAGUUGGUGGGGUAAUGGCCUACCAAGCCGACGAUCCAUAGCUGGUUUGAGAGGAUGAUCAGCCACACUGGGACUGAGACACGGCCCAGACUCCUACGGGAGGCAGCAGUGGGGAAUCUUAGACAAUGGGGGCAACCCUGAUCUAGCCAUGCCGCGUGAGUGAUGAAGGCCUUAGGGUUGUAAAGCUCUUUCAGCUGGGAAGAUAAUGACGGUACCAGCAGAAGAAGCCCCGGCUAACUCCGUG